Molecule: long non-coding RNA, 587 nt
Organism: Rhododendron vialii
Lineage: Eukaryota; Viridiplantae; Streptophyta; Magnoliopsida; Ericales; Ericaceae
Exons: 3
Source: RefSeq, a predicted model, not a curated record
UUUCAUUCUUUAUAUUCGCCCAAAACUUCGUUCCCCCUGCCAUUACGGUUUUCCGCACUGAAGAAGGAGACAUGCCUUGCAAAUUUCAACGAGGAGAGAAUUCGAAAUUGGGGUCGUCGGAGGAAUGUGCUAACCCAAAGCAACCAAAACUGGCGCGAGAAGGAAUCGAAAAAUAGAAGAAAUCGUUGAAGCGGAAAUCGGGGUCGUCGGAUGACAAGAAACAAAGACAAAAUCAACUAGGAGAGCAAAAAGAACUGGAGAAAUCAUUCAACGAUUCUGAUGACGAUAUUGAUUGGCGUAAUCACUAUGCUGAACAGAUCAACAAGAGUGAGGGAUUUGACAUUGAGUAUGUUCCCCAGAAUGUGUAUAUGAUUGGUUUAAUUCAUCCACAUAAAAACUUCUACAAGAAUCCCUAGUUCCUUGAGCAGGUCGAAAAGGCAUCAAGGAUGGCUACUGGACACUACGAUGCUAUCAACAAAACGGAUUACUGGUUUGUGAGGGUCGUCAAGGUAUGCUCAUAGCUUGUUGCUCGUUUAAAUCACUAUAUUACCUUCGAGGUCGAGGCCUUUGGUGGAACCCAGUCUCCU